RNAcentral lists this long non-coding RNA (215 nucleotides) under Lathyrus oleraceus (garden pea). RNAcentral's name for it is "Pisum sativum (pea) long non-coding RNA (PSAT_LNC027368)". Lineage: Eukaryota; Viridiplantae; Streptophyta; Magnoliopsida; Fabales; Fabaceae. The record is from RNAcentral.
AAGGGUCAUCGUAGGGUCAUCGAUUGGUCAUUGAAGGCAACAGUUACGAGGAUACCUUAGCAUUCGAAGGGACUAUCAUCUUUUAACCGUAGGCAACAUCGGAGGGUCAUCGAGGGACAAAGUUGUAUAUUCGAAGGCAACAUCCGAGGGACUAUAAUUUAUUUUAUGAUGAUUUAACCGAAGGGUCUUUGCUAAGGGUAUCCCCACGUUCGCGG